Pelobates cultripes (western spadefoot toad) is the source of this 310-nucleotide non-coding RNA. The record is from the annotation of a GenBank genome assembly. Lineage: Eukaryota; Metazoa; Chordata; Amphibia; Anura; Pelobatidae.
CAUACAUUUAACCCUUGAGGUCUUACUUGGAAUAGACCAAUAAACUAAGCACCACUAUAACACAACUUUGCCUGUCUCAGUGCAUAUUACAAGUGAUUCACUAAUUACUGUUUCCAUUUAUUUAACCCCUUAAGGACCAAACUUCUGGAAUAAAAGGGAAUCAUGACAUGUCACACAUGUCAUGUGUCCUUAAGGGGUUAAUAGGAAUUGUGGAGAAAUGCAAGAGAAUAACACAUUUUAGAGCAAUACAGGAUAGCUUAAAUAAACUACAAUUUCCAAUUUGGCUAUGUCAGAUUUAAACUUGUUUAAA